GAUGAAGAUGCGGCAGCAGAGAGAGAAGAGCCAGCCCCAACAUUGGCAGUAGGAUCCCCAAACUAAGUCUGAUCACUUGUGGCACGGGAAUGUCAAAAUAUGCCUGCUACAGGUGACAAGGAGAGAAACCUCCUGUUUCCUUGUAAUAUUUGUCUUUGGGCUUUCCAAAAUGGGAAACAGAUCUCAUUCUGACUUUUAAUAUCUCAAUGCAUCGUUCUUGGUGGAUGGAGAAUGGGCCGGGCUGCACCGUGACCUCAGUGACCCCAGCACCAGACUGGGCACCAGAGGAUCAUCGUUAUAUCACUGUCUCGGGGUGUUUUCUUGAAUAUCAGUACAUAGAGGUGGCUCACAGUUCUCUUCAGAUCUUCCUUGCACUGGCAGGCUUCAUCUAUGCCUGUUAUGUUGUGAAGUGUAUUACUGAAGAAGAGGACAGCUUUGAUUUCAUAGGUGGAUUUGACUCUUACGGCUAUCAAGGUCCACAGAAGACAUCUCAUUUACAGCUACAGCCCAUGUAUAUUGCCAACAGCGUGCUCUAUGCUGUACAAGCCAAGAAGCCUAGGCAGUCCCUUCAAAACGAAUACGCUUUUUGAACAGAACGGGACAGAACCGAUGCUCAUGUACCUCCUUGCAGUGUGGCCACAGCUGAUGUUCUCAAAAGCAGCUUCCUGGCAUUCUGUGCCGGAGAUGCCAAUGCUCAUUUCCAGACCAUGGGAGAAGAACACAAUAAGAUGGCGGAAAUCAAUUGACAAGAGAAAAUUCUGCUCUUGGGAGGUGAUCGAGGAAGGUCAAAGUAAACAUGGGGACUACUCAAGGUGGGCUGGAAGACCUGUCAAAGAAACUGGUUCAGGAUGGCCUCCUGAUUCUUCAAACAGAAAAAAAAAUUCAAUUUCUGUGCUAAAAGAAAAAUAUAAAAGCUGAUUGAACAGGGAGACAGAAAACAACAGAGACUUUCAGCCCCUCUUUCUAACAGGUACUAAAGGAGAUGCCCCAGAGCCCCACCUUGGACCUCCUGCCUCCCAGCAUCAGAGGGACAGAGUAGAGGUAUUGGUGCCAUCUUUUGUCUCUUCCCUACCCCGGCCAUGACCAGCGUGACCCAUCCGGAUUAAGACAUGAACUCGGUGCUUUGGGAGCCUCCUUCACACUCCUGGUCGCAUCGAGUCUCCUUAGUCAACACAAGGCUGAAAUACCAGGAUGACCUUGCAGCAGAAGUCAAUAGACAGCGCAUUGUUUGCCCUGAAGGCUGUACAGUUCAUACUUGCCUUAACCCAACUGCGUUGCACAUUAGAGAAACUACGUGCAAGCUUUCUGAAGUUAACAUGCUGCUGUUAAUUCUGAACAAUUUCUAAGUCAGUGGUUUUCUUCUGUUUGGUUUUGCUUUGUUUUCAUGUCAGGGAAUAAGGCUCUGUUGCUCCAUGGCUCCAGAGCGACCAAGUAGAAAACUGCCAGCUGUCUGAUAAGUGCUUUACUUUUGAGACUCCACAGUGGUCAAGGAACAGUUUAUAAUGAUUAAAAACAAAAAGAAAGAAAGAAAUAAGACCUUCUGGGGGUCAGGGCGGGGAAAGGGGUAACAUAAACUAAUAACUGAACCUACUGGAAAUAAGCAGCAGAAAUAGUGCUUCUUAAUCCCGCUGGUUUUAUUUAUCGCACUGUAGGUGCUUUUAUAGCUGUCUCUAAACGUCUUUUACUAACUACAGAGACAUCUGCAGAUUUCUAUCAACAAAGGCCAAUUGAAUAUGUACUAGCUACGUUUACUCUUUUAUAUCUAAUUUCAACUAAAAAUUCUCUGUAAGUGAGCUUUUUUUUUCUAAUUGCACCAUAAGGGAUCCAUAUAUUUUAUUUUUUGAUUUCAGUUGGAGAGGGCGGGGAGGGAAUAGUUGAGUUGAGGAAAUAUUGAAGAUCUUUUUGUGGUAUAUUUGGGGGAUCUGUUGUGUGUUAGAAUGUGUAUUUUAUCUUCCUGUAUUAUUGUGGCUGAAAAAAAAA
This is an RNA transcript of Empidonax traillii (willow flycatcher), 1980 nucleotides long. It is a transcript of the gene named sodium/potassium transporting ATPase interacting 2, with no coding region annotated. The transcript is spliced from 6 exons. NCBI's taxonomy places the organism in Eukaryota, Metazoa, Chordata, Aves, Passeriformes, Tyrannidae. The record is from RefSeq and is a predicted model, not a curated record.